This 442-nucleotide ribosomal RNA is filed under the name uncultured bacterium. RNAcentral's name for it is "bacterial SSU rRNA". It matches the Rfam family "Bacterial small subunit ribosomal RNA", at positions 335 to 769 of the family's 1533-position model. The record is from RNAcentral.
ACUCCUACGGGAGGCAGCAGUGGGGAAUAUUGCACAAUGGGCGCAAGCCUGAUGCAGCCAUGCCGCGUGUAUGAAGAAGGCCUUCGGGUUGUAAAGUACUUUCAGCAGUGAGGAAGGUGGGUAUGUUAAUAGCAUACUCAUUUGACGUUAGCUGCAGAAGAAGCACCGGCUAACUCCGUGCCAGCAGCCGCGGUAAUACGGAGGGGUGCGAGCGUUAAUCGGAAUUACUGGGCGUAAAGCGCAUGCAGGUGGUUUGUUAAGUCAGAUGUGAAAGCCCGGGGCUCAACCUCGGAAUUGCAUUUGAAACUGGCAAACUAGAGUACUGUAGAGGGGGUAGAAUUUCAGGUGUAGCGGUGAAAUGCGUAGAGAUCUGAAGGAAUACCGGUGGCGAAGGCGGCCCCCUGGACAGAUACUGACACUCAGAUGCGAAAGCGUGGGGAGC